CGGUGUGCAUCUUAGGAGCCGGUUAGUUAGGUUCGCCUUGUUGUUUGCCGAUUUGUGCUCCGCGUGGGGCUCAUCAUAUAAGUCCCCGGAAGCGUGACUUGAUGAGGUCAUUGUUGGCACUGAGUUCGUUGUUUAGUUUUCCCCCCUUCACCCGUCGCUACCGAGCCGUUGAGUCCCACCUGUAGUCGUCGGCAUGUGGCAGCGUCGUUGGCAAGAAGGGAUAGAUAGGGAGAGUAACCUUCAAUGUGUGGCGUGUGCCAACUUGGCUUCCUCGCAGGAUGUCCGGUGCUGGUACCGAUCGCUUGCCACACGCGCUUCCUUUCUGCGCGGAUGGGAGUUACAAGUUGGGACUGCAGCCAAUGCUCGUGCACGAUGUUGAAUUCCCGUACGUGCCCGAGGUGAGUUUUAUGUGAUGUGAUGUCAUUUAUUCGUCCUGGAUACACGCUCGCUGUUGCUUCUGCCUUGAUGUGCGUUGUUUCCUUGCCGUGGCCGCCCUCGGAUUCCUAGAUCGUGGUGAGUUCCUUUAGUCCCACUCGCUUGUGUGAGGACAUUGCGACCACCGUAAAACAGUUCGGCCGUCAGAUCCGCUGGCCUCUUACAUGGGUACCAGUCCUUCCCUGCCUGCCAAGGCACCAACGUGGUUGAUGCCUUGGCGGGCGGGGAAGAACAGUUGCCACAACAGCCGAUUUUUUUUCUUUUACCUUGCUAGCAUCUUCUCUGUCCCUUGGAGAGCACCGUUUUUUGGCAUUUUGGAUGUAGAUAUGGUUGGAGUAGGUGUCAAGCACGCGGGGACACGGUGUGGUCUCUGCCUUUCGUGGCCUUUUUCCUUUUCUUUUCUUGCACCGUCCUCCCCUUCUUUUUGGGAUGGUUUAGGAUCUUGUGUAGUCGUGACGGUCAUGUGGUCAUCGUUCUGGAAGCGAGUUUCAGAACUGUCAUGCAACACCAGAGAUGGGCGGCGCCGAUUCCCCUGUUUUCUUGUCGACGUGGUGGUGUUCUUAGAGGAGGAAGAAGACACAGGGCGUGGGCGGGCCAGGGAGGGGUCGAGCGAGACAUCGCCUUUUUGCGAGAAAAUGUCUUUACGAAAUGUCGUAUUGAAUGUACAGAUUAUAGUGUCUUUAUGAAAUGUCUAAAACAAUAGAUGCAUUUUAUUAGUGUCUCAUCACACAUAGCG
Molecule: long non-coding RNA, 1171 nt
Filed under: Brachypodium distachyon (stiff brome)
Lineage: Eukaryota; Viridiplantae; Streptophyta; Magnoliopsida; Poales; Poaceae
Description: long non-coding RNA (BDIS_LNC002093)
Source: RNAcentral